GAGCACUCAGCCAGGCCUGAAUCACUGGCCCUUGCCCUCUAGGUUAAGGGAAACAGAGAGCCUCCCUUUGCUCUUCCCCAUUUGGGGUGGCUGGGGAGAGUGAGUGAGUGUGAGUGUGAGUGUGUGUGUGUGUGAUGAGUGCUUGAAUGUGUCUCUUCAGAUACCAAGGGGGCCCCUAUGUCCUGGAUUUUGGGUCAGUCUUUGCAAAAGGGGGAAGCUGGCAAAGCAUACCCCCAUUUGCCCACCCCCACCCCUGUGAGAACCUCUUCCAUACCCACUCCUGCCUGUCCCCGGCUGCCUCCCUCCAGUGUCAAUUCUCCGUCCUGUGCACCUUCUCUCAAGCACUUGUGUCUUUCCAGGCCCCCAAGACAAUGAGGUUUCUAAGCCAUUAUAUGGUGUCUGGUGAAGACAGAAAAGAAGGCCUUUCCUCCUGCCCUCCCAUCCUCCCUAGGCUUUCUGGCAACAGGAGGACUUCUGGAGCCACUCAACAGGACAAUCAUUGGCACCCAAGCCCCUCUAGAGCCCUGGAUUCUCCACCAUUCCUGCUCUGCCAGUCCUCAGCCUCCACCUCUGGCCUGCUGCAGAUUGUCACAAUCCAUGCUGAUUGGGUCCACGACAAAGGUGUGUUUGCUGGUGCUUGCUUGUCUGAUUGUCUCCUUAUUCUAUUUCCAAAACGUCUCCAUUCUUCUCCAGCCACCAUCCCCUCACUCAGCAGAAAGCAUGUUUAGAUCUCUUCUACUUAAAAACAAUAACCCAACAGACCAAGAUCUAGGAGAUGCAGUAAAGGCAGUGCUGAGAGGGA
Molecule: long non-coding RNA, 802 nt
Filed under: Dasypus novemcinctus (nine-banded armadillo)
Lineage: Eukaryota; Metazoa; Chordata; Mammalia; Cingulata; Dasypodidae
Description: lncRNA (ENSDNOG00000050352.1)
Source: RNAcentral